Molecule: long non-coding RNA, 106 nt
Organism: Polyodon spathula (Mississippi paddlefish)
Lineage: Eukaryota; Metazoa; Chordata; Actinopteri; Acipenseriformes; Polyodontidae
Exons: 3
Source: RefSeq, a predicted model, not a curated record
CAGUUCCUGCUCCAUCUUCUUCUUCAGUUCAUCCUUCUGUUUGCUCAUCACUUCUUGUACCGUCUUCAUUAUUUUCUGGUUGUCCAUCUCUAAGCCUCUCUGAUCA